AAUCAACGCUGGCGGCGUGCCUCAGACAUGCAAGUCGAACGAUUAAAGCUCUCUUCGGAGAGUGCAUAGAGUGGCGCACGGGUGAGUAACACGUAAGUAAUCUACCCUCGAGUGGGGAAUAACGUCGGGAAACCGAUGCUAAUACCGCAUAAUGCAGCGGCACCGCAAGGUGACAGUUGUUAAAGAUUUAUCGCUUGAGGAGGAGCUUGCGGCAGAUUAGCUAGUUGGUAAGGUAAUGGCUUACCAAGGCUACGAUCUGUAACCGGUCUAAGAGGACGGUCGGUCACACUGACACUGAAUAACGGGUCAGACUCCUACGGGAGGCAGCAGGUCGGGAAUUUUGGGCAAUGGGCGAAAGCCUGACCCAGCAACGCCGCGUGAAGGAUGAAGUAUUCGGUAUGUAAACUUCGAAAGAAUAGGAAGAAUAAAUGACGGUACUAUUUAUAAGGUCCGGCUAACUACGUGCCAGCAGCCG
Molecule: ribosomal RNA, 475 nt
Filed under: uncultured bacterium
Lineage: Bacteria
Description: bacterial SSU rRNA
Rfam family: Bacterial small subunit ribosomal RNA
Source: RNAcentral